GACGAACGCUGGCGGCGUGCUUAACACAUGCAAGUCGAGCGGUAAGGCCCUUUCGGGGGUACACGAGCGGCGAACGGGUGAGUAACACGUGGGUGACCUGCCCUCAGCUCUGGGAUAAGCCUGGGAAACUGGGUCUAAUACUGGAUAUGACUCCACGGUGCAUGUCGUGGGGUGGAAAGCCUUGUGCGGCUGAGGAUGGGCCCGCGGCCUAUCAGCUUGUUGGCGGGGUGAGGCCUACCAAGGCGACGACGGGUAGCCGGCCUGAGAGGGCGACCGGCCACACUGGGACUGAGACACGGCCCAGACUCCUACGGGAGGCAGCAGUGGGGAAUCUUGCGCAAUGGGCGAAAGCCUGACGCAGCGACGCCGCGUGAGGGAUGACGGCCUCGGUGUAA
This 395-nucleotide ribosomal RNA is filed under the name uncultured bacterium. RNAcentral describes it as "bacterial SSU rRNA". It matches the Rfam family "Bacterial small subunit ribosomal RNA", at positions 28 to 428 of the family's 1533-position model. The record is from RNAcentral.